AAGGAUCAUUACCAAACACUCCUCUCACGAGGACCAUCAUAUCCUGUGCAUUGUCAUCCCCCAGGGUUUCAUACCCGCACCCACUUUCAAGAGAGACCUUCCCGGUGGCUGCGGAGACGGGGUAACUCCCCGCACGCCGGUCGCUUGAUUGUGGCUAAACAGUUUCUGGUUCGGAAGGGCCACUGGGGCUAACUUUUUUCAACCUUUCAACAAACGAUUAAUGCAAAGGCACUUCUUUUGGAGUGCCCGGUGUUGUGUAACCACAGCGCCCGCAAUAUAAACAACUUUCAGCAACGGAUGUCUUGGCUCCC
RNAcentral lists this unclassified non-coding RNA (311 nucleotides) under uncultured fungus. RNAcentral describes it as "partial contains 5.8S ribosomal RNA, internal transcribed spacer 2, and large subunit ribosomal RNA". The record is from RNAcentral. Lineage: Eukaryota; Fungi.